Molecule: ribosomal RNA, 548 nt
Filed under: uncultured bacterium
Lineage: Bacteria
Description: bacterial SSU rRNA
Rfam family: Bacterial small subunit ribosomal RNA
Source: RNAcentral
AAUAGAUACCCUGGUAGUCCACGCCGUAAACGAUGAGUGCUAAGUGUUAGGGGGUUUCCGCCCCUUAGUGCUGCAGCUAACGCAUUAAGCACUCCGCCUGGGGAGUACGGUCGCAAGACUGAAACUCAAAGGAAUUGACGGGGGGCCCGCACAAGCGGUGGAGCAUGUGGUUUAAUUCGAAGCAACGCGAAGAACCUUACCAGGUCUUGACAUCCCAUUGACCGCUAUGGAGACAUAGCUUUCCCUUCGGGGACAGUGGUGACAGGUGGUGCAUGGUUGUCGUCAGCUCGUGUCGUGAGAUGUUGGGUUAAGUCCCGCAACGAGCGCAACCCUUGUUCUUAGUUGCCAUCAUUUAGUUGGGGCACUCUAAGGAGACUGCCGGUGACAAACCGGAGGAAGGUGGGGAUGACGUCAAAUCAUCAUGCCCCUUAUGACCUGGGCUACACACGUGCUACAAUGGACGGUACAAACGGUUGCCAACCCGCGAGGGGGAGCUAAUCCGAUAAAAACCCGUUCUCAGUUCGGAUUGUAGGCUGCAACUCGCCUAC